CAGCAGCCACGGUAAUACGUAGGGUGCGAGCGUUAAUCGGAAUUACUGGGCGUAAAGGGCGCGCAGGCGGACUUUUAAGUCGGAGGUGAAAGCCCAGGGCUCAACCCUGGAAUUGCCUUCGAUACUGGGAGUCUUGAGUUCGGAAGAGGUUGGUGGAACUGCGAGUGUAGAGGUGAAAUUCGUAGAUAUUCGCAAGAACACCGGUGGCGAAGGCGGCCAACUGGUCCGAAACUGACGCUGAGGCGCGAAAGCGUGGGGAGCAAACAGGAUUAGAUACCCCCGUAGUCCCUGUCUCUUAUAC
Molecule: ribosomal RNA, 301 nt
Filed under: uncultured bacterium
Lineage: Bacteria
Description: partial 16S ribosomal RNA
Rfam family: Bacterial small subunit ribosomal RNA
Source: RNAcentral